AAGCAAUCUGUCCGCCUUGGCCUCCCAAAGUGUUGGGACUACAAGUGUGAGCCACCAUGCCCAGCUGAUUUUUGACUUUAGUAAAGCACUUUACUUUGCACUUCCACUCAUGUCUAAGAAGUAAACUAUUGUUAAUACAAUAAAUGUGGGAGUCAUAUUAAGUCAAACCUGGUUUUAGAAGAAAAACCACUAAAUUCAUUAAACCUUUGACAGUACAUAGGAAUGUGAGCAUGUGUUGUUAUAGCAUUAAAGUAAUAAUUCAAAAUACACAAUUAGAGAAUUCUGGUUCAUAUAAAUCCUACAACAACUUUAAGGUUUAAUAUCAGAGCUCAGAUGUGA
Molecule: long non-coding RNA, 339 nt
Filed under: Homo sapiens (human)
Lineage: Eukaryota; Metazoa; Chordata; Mammalia; Primates; Hominidae
Description: HSALNT0213228
Source: RNAcentral